Molecule: long non-coding RNA, 461 nt
Organism: Calypte anna (Anna's hummingbird)
Lineage: Eukaryota; Metazoa; Chordata; Aves; Apodiformes; Trochilidae
Exons: 4
Source: RefSeq, a predicted model, not a curated record
CUUGACCUAGAUUGAUGGGGCCUCGAUCCCACAUACUCCUAGUUAACAGCUAGGCACCCAAACCAGCGAGCUUCAAUCUACUCAGACCCCAGUGCACACUCAAUGCACAUUAAUGAGUUUGCAACUCACCGUGAACUUCACUACAGGGUCGAUAAGAAGAGGAAUCAAACCUCUGUAAAAAGGACUACAGCCUAAUGCCUAUAACACUCAGCCAUCUUACCUGUGACUUUCAUUAACCGAUGAUUAUUUUCAACUAAUCACAAAGACAUUGGGCACCCUGUACCUAAUUCUUCGGAGCAUGGGCUGGAAUAGUUGGAACCUCCCUAAGCCUGGCUAAUCCGAGCAGAACUCGGCCAACCAGGCACCCUCCUAGGGGACGAUCAAAUUUACAAUGUGAUCGUCACUGCCCAUUGCCUUCGUAAUAAUCUUCUUCAUAUCGGAAGAGCUUCUGUAGGCAAAGA